GAGUAUGGCGGCGGCUACACAUGCAAGUCGAGCGGAUGAGGGUAGCUUGCUACCUGAUUCAGCGGCGGACGGGUGAGUAAUGCCUAGGAAUCUGCCCGAUAGUGGGGGACAACGUUUCGAAAGGAACGCUAAUACCGCAUACGUCCUACGGGAGAAAGUGGGGGAUCUUCGGACCUCACGCUAUCGGAUGAGCCUAGGUCGGAUUAGCUAGUUGGUGAGGUAAUGGCUCACCAAGGCGACGAUCCGUAACUGGUCUGAGAGGAUGAUCAGUCACACUGGAACUGAGACACGGUCCAGACUCCUACGGGAGGCAGCAGUGGGGAAUAUUGGACAAUGGGCGAAAGCCUGAUCCAGCCAUGCCGCGUGUGUGAAGAAGGUCUUCGGAUUGUAAAGCACUUUAAGUUGGGAGGAAGGGCAGUAAGUUAAUACCUUGCUGUUUUGACGUUACCAACAGAAUAAGCACCGGCUAACUUCGUGCCAGCAGCCGCGGUAAUACGAAGGGUGCAAGCGUUAAUCGGAAUUACUGGGCGUAGAGCGCGCGUAGGUGGUUCAGCAAGUUGGACGUGAAAGCCCCGGGCUCAACCUGGGAACUGCAUCCAAAACUACUGAGCUAGAGUACGGUAGAGGGUGGUGGAAUUUCCUGUGUAGCGGUGAAAUGCGUAGAUAUAGGAAGGAACACCAGUGGCGAAGGCGACCACCUGGACUGAUACUGACACUGAGGUGCGAAAGCGUGGGGAGCAAACAGGAUUAGAUACCCUGGUAGUCCACGCCGUAAACGAUGUCAACUAGCUGUUGGGUUCCUUGAGAACUUAGUAGCGCAGCUAACGCGAUAAGUUGACCGCCUGGGGAGUACGGGCCGCAAAGUUAAAACUCAAAUGAAUUUGACGGGGGCCCGCACAAGCGGUGGAGCAUGUGGUUUAUUCGAAGCAACGCGAGACCUUACCUGGCCUUGACAUGCUGAGAACUUUCCAGAGAUGGAUUGGUGCCUUCGGGAACUCAGACCCAGGUGCUGCAUGGCUGUCGUCAG
This 1027-nucleotide ribosomal RNA is filed under the name uncultured bacterium. Its description in RNAcentral is "bacterial SSU rRNA". It matches the Rfam family "Bacterial small subunit ribosomal RNA", at positions 31 to 1058 of the family's 1533-position model. The record is from RNAcentral.